This 405-nucleotide long non-coding RNA is filed under the name Nicotiana benthamiana. RNAcentral describes it as "long non-coding RNA (NBEN_LNC018420)". The record is from RNAcentral. Lineage: Eukaryota; Viridiplantae; Streptophyta; Magnoliopsida; Solanales; Solanaceae.
UUUGGAUGAGUUCUUGUAAUUAAGCCUUCUUGAAAAGUUCUUACAAACAUCGUCUGAUUUGUUUUGAUGUAAUACACUUCCCUUUAUCCUAACUGUCUCAUGAAAUUGAAAUGCAAAGAUCAUGUUUAUUGUUAUUGUUGUUGAAAAGGCACAAUAACAAGUGUAAGUGUAUUCUCUUUCCGUCGACUUUCAGUUCUAGUACUAGGACUUCGGGUCUUCUUUAUUUUUUGUUAGUCCUACACUUUAGUAUGACAAUACAUGGGCCCCCUUAACAUAAUGUCCAUAAGACCACAUAAUUAGGCCAAACCAAAAGAUAGCACAUAACAUAUAAUUAUCCAUAUAUUGUUCAUAUGUGUGUAGAUAUAAGUCCAUAUAUCUAGAUAUAAAUCCAUAUAUCUUACAUUA